This 253-nucleotide ribosomal RNA is filed under the name uncultured bacterium. RNAcentral's name for it is "partial 16S ribosomal RNA". It matches the Rfam family "Bacterial small subunit ribosomal RNA", at positions 524 to 776 of the family's 1533-position model. The record is from RNAcentral.
GACAGAGGGUGCAACCGUUGUUCGGAAUUACUGGGCGUAAAGCGUGUGUAGGCGGCCACGUAAGUCGGAUGUGAAAGCCCCAGGCUCAACCUGGGAAGUGCACUCGAUACUGCGUGGCUUGAGUAUCGGAGAGGUUGGUGGAAUUCUCGGUGUAGAGGUGAAAUUCGUAGAUAUUCGGAAGAACACCGGUGGCGAAGGCGGCUCACUGGCCCGUAACUGACGCUCAUGCACGACAGCGUGGGGAUCAAACAGG